GAAUUCACUAGUGAUUAGACUUUGAUUAUGGCUCAGGAUGAACGCUGGCGGCGUGCCUAACACAUGCAAGUCGAACGAAGCGCCCGCGCGGAUUCCCUCGGGAUGAAGCGCGGAUGACUGAGUGGCGGACGGGUGAGUCACGCGUGGGCAACCUGCCCCGUGCCGGGGGACAACAGCCGGAAACGGCUGCUAAUACCGCAUGAUCCGGGAGGGCCGCAUGGCCCUGCCGGGAAAGCUCCGGCGGCACGGGAUGGGCCCGCGUCUGAUUAGUUUGUUGGCGGGGUAACGGCCCACCAAGACUGCGAUCAGCAGCCGGCCUGAGAGGGCGGCCGGCCACAUUGGGACUGAGACACGGCCCAGACUCCUGCGGGAGGCAGCAGUGGGGAAUAUUGCACAAUGGGGGAAACCCUGAUGCAGCGACGCCGCGUGGGCGACGAAGCGCUCCGGCGCGUAAAGCCCUGUCAGCAGGGAAGAGAAAAGACAGUACCUGACCAAGAAGCCCCGGCUAACUACGUGCCAGCAGCCGCGGUAAUACGUAGGGGGCAAGCGUUAUCCGGAUUCACUGGGCGUAAAGGGAGCGCAGGCGGCACGGCAAGUCUGGUGUGAAAGCCCGGGGCCCAACCCCGGGACUGCAUUGGAAACUGCCGGGCUGGAGUGCCGGAGAGGUAAGCGGAAUUCCUGGCGUAGCGGUGAAAUGCGCAGAUAUCAGGAAGAACACCGGUGGCGUAGGCGGCUUACUGGACGGCAACUGACGCUGAGGCUCGAAAGCGUGGGGAGCAAACAGGAUUAGAUAACCUGGUAAUUCCCGCCGUUAACGAAGAAUACAAGUGGGCGGCGGGCAG
This 842-nucleotide ribosomal RNA is filed under the name uncultured bacterium. RNAcentral's name for it is "bacterial SSU rRNA". It matches the Rfam family "Bacterial small subunit ribosomal RNA", at positions 1 to 833 of the family's 1533-position model. The record is from RNAcentral.